Molecule: non-coding RNA, 27 nt
Filed under: Cricetulus griseus (Chinese hamster)
Lineage: Eukaryota; Metazoa; Chordata; Mammalia; Rodentia; Cricetidae
Source: RNAcentral
GUCUUGAACUCACAGAGAUUGGCUUGC